RNAcentral lists this long non-coding RNA (25336 nucleotides) under Manihot esculenta (cassava). RNAcentral's name for it is "long non-coding RNA (MESC_LNC010748)". The record is from RNAcentral. Lineage: Eukaryota; Viridiplantae; Streptophyta; Magnoliopsida; Malpighiales; Euphorbiaceae.
UGUAUUUCACUAUUCAAGGAAAAAGUGGGAGAGCGAAUACAGAUAAAUCAGAAGCUUCCAUCCUUUUACCAAGAAGCAGCCAUAAUUGCCCCUGAGAAAGUCUUAAAGUUUAGAGUCAUCCUUCGAGAUGGAAAGAGGGUUCCUCAAGGACUCAUUAAAUGGCUGAAUUUGUCAGAUGAGGAGGCAACCUGGGAAGACAAAUCCUUUAUUUUGCACUAGUUUCCACAUUCAGCUCUUCUUGGGGACAAGAAGAAUCCCUUGGGGACAAAAAAAAUCUCUUGGGGAGGGUAUUGUAACGUACCACAGAAGGAAGAAGAAGGGAGAAUAAGCUAUUGUAAUUGUUGUAAUUGAAUAAAGGAAUUGGAGGAAAAAAAUGUUUAGUUAGAAGGUAGUUAGUCUUGUACACAUAUAAAAGGAGAGAACUCUACUCUGUGAAGGCAUUUGAGAAUGAUCAAUAAUAUCUCUUCCUAUCUUCUCACCUCACUCUCUCUCUCUUUCUCACCCUUCUUUCCUCAUCUCCUUUCUAAUUCUUCCCUCAUCUAAGUCUAUUCUCCUUCUCAUCCCCAAUUCUUCUUCUUUUCUCAUCUCUAUUUUCUAUUCCCAGCCAUUGUGCUAACACUGUACUACCUCUAGCUAUAACAAACUUCUAUCCAUAACAAUCCCUAUAACAAUCCAUACAGCUAUAGUAUUUUCCCACCCAAAGUCUUUAUGCAUUUUAUUUCCUCUUAUUUCUAUAUUUCUUCUUAUAAUAAAUGACAAUAUCUUUUGACCUUUUUUCUUAAUUCAAUAAAAGACUCAAAUGUUCAACAUUCCAUAAUUUAAAACUAAAAUGUUUGAUUGGGAAGUAUUUAAAAGGGGAUUGUAAGUGUACUUGUUCAGUUUAUUUGGAAUGAAAACAUUAAUUUUUAUUAAAGAAAAUAUGUUGUAAUAUUCCCGAUUUGUUUUAAACAUUGUAGAAGGAUAAUAUUUGUUGUAUUUCACAAUAGAGAUUACAACCUAUUUAUACAUGAGAGACGGUAUCUAAACAGGAAGAAAAAUCAAGCCUAUGAUUAUACAAUCCCUAAGAUUAAGCAACUGACCCAUCUAUCAAUAUUUACUUUCUAUAUUAACAUAUUUACUUUCUAUAACUUAUAACACUCCCUCUCAAGUUGGAUCAUAAAUGUUAAUCAUGCCCAAUUUGUUACAUAUAUAAUCAACUCGAGUCCCAUUUGGAGCUUUAGUGAAAAUAUCUCCUAAUUGUUCUCUAGUUCGGAUAUGUCCUUUUGAUAUUAUCUUUUGUUGGACCUUUUCACGAACAAAAUGACAAUCAAUCUCGAUGUGUUUAGUCCUCUCGUGAAAUACUGGAUUGGAGGCAAUGUGGAUAGCGGCUUGAAUAUCACACCACAACUUAGCAGGCACCGAAUUUGUGAACCCAACUUCUUCCAACAGUUGACAUACCCACAAGAUUUCACAAACGGCUUAUGCCAUAGCUCGAUAUUCAGAUUCAGCACUAGAACGGGAGAGCACAUUUUGCUUCUUACUUUUCCAUGAGAUCAAGUUACCUCCCACAAAAACACAAUACCCAGUAGUUGACCUCCUAUCAACUUUCGAGCCUGCCCAAUCAGCAUCAGAAAAGCAUUCAAUAUUUGAGUGCCCAUGGUUACCAUAGAAUAGGCCUCGCCCUGGGGCCCCUUUAAGGUAACAAAGAAUCUGUCCCAGAGCAUCCCACUGGGCAACAGUAGGAGAAGACAUAAACUGACUUACCACACUCACUGAAUAUGCAAUAUCAGGACGAGUCACCGUCAAAUAAUUCAGCUUGCCAACUAAUCUUCUAUACCUUCCAGAAUCUGCAAAUGCAAAUGGCUCACUGUCUUCUGUGGUAAGUUGAAGGUUAGGGGUCAUUGGGGCACUACACGGCUUAGCAUCCAAUUUUCCUGUUUCUGCCAACAAAUCAAGAACAUAUUUUCUUUGAGAUAAGAAAAUGCCUUUCUUACACCACAUGACUUCGAUUCCCAAGAAAUAUUUCAAGGAACCCAAACCCUUUAUAUGAAACUGUGUUUUAAGAAAUUCUUUUAGGGAUGUGAUGCCAGCAAUGUCACUUCCUGUAAUAACGAUAUCAUCCACAUAUACUACAAGCAUAAUUACUCCACUAUCAGAAUUUCUAUAAAACACUAAGUGAUCACACUUACUCAUCUUCAUUCCAAACUGUUGGACCACCUCACUAAGCCUGUCAAACCAUGUCCGAAGACUCUGUUUCAAGCCAUAAAGGGAUUUUCGAAGUCUACAAACCUUACCUGACUCCCCCUGAGCAACAAAACAAGGUGGUUGCUCAAUAUAAACCUCCUCCUGAAGAUCACCAUGAAGAAAAGCAUUUUUAAUAUCUAGUUGAUGCAAAGGCCAAUCAUGAGUAGCCGCCAAGGAAAUAAACAAUCGGACAGAUGCGAGCUUGGCAACUGGGGAGAAUGUAUCAGAAUAGUCAACUCCAUAAGUUUUUGUAUAACUUUUGGCCACUAAACGGGCCUUGAGGCGAGCAAUAGAUCCAUUAGGGUUUACUUCCACUGCAAACACCCUUUUGCACUCAAUAGCCCGCUUUCCUGGGGGCAAGGACAUCAACUCCCAAGUACCAUUAGUGUCAAGGGCCAUCAUUUCCUCUUCCAUUGCAGCACGCCAACCAGGAUGGGACAAAGCCUCAAUAACAGUUUUGGAAAUUGAAAUAGAAUCUAAAGCAGUGACAAAACAACGAGAAGAGGAGGAUAAUUGAUCAUAAGAGACACAAGAUGAAAUAGGAUAAGUGCAAGUACGUUUACCUUUGCGAAGAGCAAUGGGCAAAUCCAAAUCAGACAGUGAAGGAUCAGUGGGAGCAGGAUCGGUUGACGAAGAAGCGGGUAGCAGAACGGAGUCAGAGUCCUCUAAGCGUUUGGAAUGCACAUGAAAGAUGGGAGGGCAACCUGGCAUAUGAGCGAAAGGUGUAGGAGUAGUCUGAGGAGACAGAGAGUGAACAGUGUAUGACAAGAGGUCAUCUUCCUCCUCCUGGGUAUUAUAAACAGAUGAUGGCAGAAAAAAUAGAGUGGACUCAAAGAAUGUUACAUCUGCAGACACAAGAUACCGAUUCAGAUCAAGAGAAAAACAACGAUACCCUUUCUGACAUCGAGAGUAGCCAAGGAAGACACAUUUGAGUGAUUUGGGAUCCAAUUUAGUAACCUGUGGACGAACAUCACGAACAAAAUAAGUACAACCAAAGAUACGUGGCUCAAUAGGAAACAAAGAUUUAGUGGGAAACAAAAUGUUAUAAGUGAUAUCACCAUGAAGGAUGGAGGAAGGCAUGCGAUUAAUCAAAAAACAAGCAGUGAAUACAGCAUCAGCCCAAAAAUAUUUAGGUACCUUCAUUUGGAAUAAGAGGGCUCUGGCUACUUCAACAAGAUGUCGAUUUUUUCUUUCAGCAACUCCAUUUUGUGAAGGAGUGGCAACACAAGAGGACUGAUGAAGAACCUCUUUUUGUAACAAAUAAGAUUGAAAUUCCCCAGAGAGAUACUCUUUAGCAUCAUCACUUUGAAAUAUACGGAUGGAAGUAUUGAAUUGGGUUUGGAUUUCAGCAUAAAAUGCACAAAAAAUAGAAAAUAAUUCUGAACGACUUUUCAUUAAAAAUAACCAAGUAGUACGAGAGAAAUCAUCAACAAAAGUAACAAAAUACUUAAAGCCAGACUUAGACACAAUAGGACAAGGACCCCAAACAUCUGAAUGGACUAACUCAAAGGGGGACAAAGUCCGUUUAUUGACUCGAGACAGUGUAGGUAAACGAUGAUGUUUGGCAAAUUGACAAGACUCACAAUCUAGAAUAGACAAAGAAUGAAACUGUGGAUAUAACUUCUUCAAAGCCGAGAGAGAAGGAUGCCCCAAACGACAAUGAACAUCAAAAGGUGUUAAACGCGUGGAGCAUAUCAUAGAUCGAGGAGAUCGAGGUAGUUGCUAAUCCAAGAUGUAAAGACCCUCUGACUCACUCCCUCUACCAAUAAUCUACUUCGUCGAAAGAUCCUGAAAAAUACAGUGAUCAGGAAAGAAUGACACACAACAAUUCAAUGCACGAGUGAGUUUACUCACGGAAAACAAAUUAAAUGCGAACUUAGGGAGACAUAACACAGAGGAUACAGAAAGAGAAGGGGUUAAGUUGACAUGACCAGAACCCAUGACAGAAGAUUUAGUGUCAUCAGUAAGAGUAACAUAAGAAGGCGAUAUAUGAGACUCAAGAUUGGACAAAAGGGUAGAAUUACCUGACAUAUGAUCGGUAGCACCAGAAUCAAUAACCCAUUUGGAGGAUGAAGACACAAGACAUGCAGUAGAAUUACUUAACUCAGCAAUUGCAGUGAUAGAGGAGGAAUUAGAGGAUUUUAGAGAUGCCUGGUAUUGGAUGAAUUGUGCAUACUCAUAUGCAGAUAUCAAAAUUCCUUGAUUGGAAAAUCCAUUCAAUUUGUGUUCCGUGAUUUUAGUCAUCAUAGGAAUCACAUCAGUUACGGUGGUGGUUUUAACUUCAGCCAUAAGGACAACCAAUCCAAAACGAUAGCAAUAAAAGAAACACAGAAUCAGAAAACAGUACCCGGCGUGAACAGUACCACGUGAACAGUAUCGAUGAACAGGAUCCGUGAACAGUACCGAUGACUAGUACCGUGAACAGUGCCGAUGAACAGUACCCCCGAAUAUGAAUAGUACCUAAAACACCUCCACCCAACACCCUAAUGGCAAAUAAACCUCAGAUCUGAUAAAGGAAUGGUGUGGCGACUCCGGCGAUGGUGAGAUCCAAAUGUUACCCUUUAUGGGUAACCCAAAUAAAUAGAGCCCUAGAGAAAACUUGACGAGAGAAAAAAUAUAAUUUCUACGAGAAUGGCUCUGAUACCAUAAAGAAGGAUAAUAUUUGUUGUAUUUCACAAUAGAGAUUACAACCUAUUUAUACAUGAGAGACGGUAUCUAAAUAGGAAGAAAAUUCAAGCCUCUGAUUAUACAAUCCCUAAGAUUAAGCAAUUGACCCAUCUAUCAAUAUUUACUUCCUAUAUUAACAUAUUUACUUUCUAUAAUUUAUAAGAAACAUGAAAGAUGGGCCCUAAACUGUUGAAUGGCUAGAAUUUAUGUUAACUAAUGGCUUGCGGAUAAUGAAAGACGGCAAAUUUUCCAAAAAAAGAAAACAUCUACUCAACUGAAAUAGUAUUUUAUUGCAGAAACACAAAUGAAGAACCUAGACAAAAAGAAGAUGUGAAUUUAAUGGGCCAAACAUGGAAAAAGAAGAAGAAAAAAAAAAAGAAAAGGAUUGCAAAUUUGCCUCCUACUGGAAUAUCUAAUUAAAGUUUAGAGCUAAGAGUGCUAAUCCAAUGAGGGUUUCAAAAACGUGAUAUAAAAAACGGAUCAGGAUUUUACCGGAAAAAAAGUUUCAGUAUUAGAACUUUUGAUGCAGUUAAUUCUCUUGUUGUAAAAUUGUGUGUUUAUGAAAGAAAAUGUUGAUAUUAAAAACCUUUCAUUAUCUUUUUUUUUUUUUCUUACUGCACUUUUUGUCUCAAACUUCCAAUUUUUUUAGGCCUGAAGCUAAACUUGUGAAAGAAGUUGUGGAACAUAUUUUGAGGAAAUUGGAUCAUGCAUUCUCAGGAGAUUUGAAGGGUCUGAUUGGAAUACACUCGCACAUUAGACAGAUUAAAAAUUUAUUAUGCAUAGGGUUGCCAAAUGUUCGUAUUGUAGGAAUUUGGGGCAUGGCUGGCAUAGGCAAAACGACUAUUGCUAGAGCUUUUUUCAACACUAUCUCAAAUCAAUUUGAAGCUUGCACUUUUCUUGAGAAUGUAAACGAAGAAUCAAAACAAUUUGAAGGGCUACGUCGUUUAAGAGAAAAGCUUCUUUCUGAAUUACUAGAGGAGGAAAAUCGACAUAUUGUCACUUCCAACAUAGAAUCUGUUUCCGUUAAGGACAGGAUCCGCCACAAAAGGGUUUUGCUUGUCCUUGAUGAUUUGAAUGAUGUGGAUCAGCUGGAAGCCCUCAUUGGAGGAUGCGAUUUUGCUUUGGGAAGUAGAGUUAUAGUGACAUCUAGAGAUAGGCAAGUUCUAAAGAAUGGAGUUGAUGAAAUAUAUGAAGUUGAGGGAUUAAAUGAUGAUGAAGCUCUUCAACUGUUCAGUUCCAAUGCUUUUAAGAAAAGUUAUCCCACUUUUGAUAGAUUGGAGCUAUCAAAUAGGGUGGUGAACUAUGCUCAGGGAAACCCCUUAGCUCUUAAAGUUUUGGGUUCUUUCUUAUUUGACAGAAGGAGAGAAGAUUGGGAAAACACACUGGAUAAACUUGGAAGAAUUCCUCAGGCUAAAGUUUUUCAUUUGCUGAGAACAUGUUUUGACACGCUUGAUGAUGAUGAGAAAAAUAUAUUUCUGGAUAUUGCAUGUUUUUUCAAGGGGCAACAAAUUGAUUUUGUAAGGAGAGUACUAGAUGGUUGUGGUUUCUCAGCAGGAAUUGGAAUUACUGUUCUUCUUGAUAAAUCUCUUAUUACUAUCCUAGAUAACAAGCUGGGAAUGCAUAAACUGUUGCAAGAAAUGGCUCAUGAAAUUGUUCGCCAAGAAUCUGUUAAAGAGCUGGGCAAGCGCAGUAGAUUGUGGAGAGCUUGUGAUGUCUAUCAAGUCUUAACAAAAAAUCUGGUAAGAGCCAUAUUCAUUCUUGAUUUUUAUGCUUGCAUGUAUUAUAUUUAUGUAUCUGUCAAAAUAAACUGAGUACAUCAGUGUAACCUUGCUUUAUAUAUAUGCUCAUCCGUGAUCUUCAGGGAACUGAAAAUGUUGAAGGGAUAUGGUUAGACACAUCUAAAAUGAGAGAAAUGGAUGUGAGUUCAAGAGCCUUUGUGAGGAUGGAUAAUCUUAGAUUGCUCAAAAUCUACAAUUCUAGAGUUAGAAAUAAUUGUAAACUGCACCUUCCUCGUGGCCUUAAGUUCCUUUCUGAUGAGUUGAGGUACAUCCAUUGGGAUGGAUACCCUCUGAGCUCUAUGCCAUCCAAUUUUCAGGUGGAGAACCUUGUUGAGCUAAACCUGGCUUACAGCAAAGUUAAACAGCUAUGGACAGGAGUACAGGUACGCGAUAAUAUUUUUCCUGAUUCCCUUUUUACAUCAUUUCCUUUUAAAAGUGCAGAUUAGUAUGGGGCAUGUGCUAAUUUGUUGUAGCCUGUUGUAUUGUUAUUGCAGAAUCUUGCAAGUUUGAAAGAUAUUAACCUUAGCAAUUCUGAGCACUUAAAUACUUUCCCUGAUCUCUCACUGGCAAAGAAUCUUGAGAGAGUAAAUUUUGAGUUCUGUACUAGCUUGGUAGAAGUUCCCUCAUCUAUUCAGUUUCUAGAGAAGCUUACUGAUUUGAAUAUGAGAUGCUGCACAUGCCUUGAGAGUUUUCCUACAGGUAUUAAUUUGAGAUCACUUAAGACUCUUUACCUUUCCGGCUGUUCAAAUCUUAGGAAGUGUCCUGAGAUAGGAAAGAACAUAGUGUAUUUAAACUUAAAUGAGACUGCAAUAGAAGAACUUCCGGAAUCAAUUGGCCAUCUCAGUGAUCUCAUAGCAUUGAAUUUGAAGGAUUGUAAGCAAAUCAGGCAUCUUCCAAGAAGCAUGCGUUUGUUGAAAUCCCUUGUGAUUAUUGAUCUCUCUGGCUGCUCAAAUAUCAUUAGGUUUCCCGAUUUUGCAACACGUAUAGAAUUCUUGUACUUGGGUGAAACUGCAAUAGAAGAACUUCCCUCUUCAAUUGGUUGUCUCUCAAGGCUCUCUCGUUUGGAUCUAACAAACUGCAAAAGGCUUAAGAACCUUCCUUCUACCAUUUUUAAGUUGGCAUCUCUUGAAAAUCUUAUCAUCUCUGGCUGCUCAAGUAUUACUGAGAUUCCAGAGAUGUCGAGUAAUAUAAGGAAGUUGUUUAUAGAUGGGACAUCAAUAGAAGAAAUUCCCUCAUCAAUAGAGUGUUGUUUUGAUCUUGUUGAGUUGAACCUGCAAAACUGCACAAGAUUUCGUAUUCUUCCAAGCGGUAUUUGUAGGUUGAAAUCUCUGCAAAAGCUUAAUCUCUCAGGUUGCUCCAUGUUUGAGAAUUUUCCAGAAGUUUUGGAGGUUAUGGGAUCAUUGAGGUAUCUAUAUUUAGAUGGAACAGCCAUACAAGAGUUACCUUCACCAAUUGAAAAUUUGAAAGGGCUUACCUGCUUGGAAUUAAGGAACUGCAGAAAUCUACAGGGAUUGCUGGAAGGAAUCUCUGGUGUAAAAAAUUUCAGCAGAUUACCUGAAAGGUGGGUGGAUAUUCAAUAUCUACGAAAGCUCAACGUAAAUAAUUGCAGUUUAUCACAUGUGCCUUAUUGCAUUGGCUGCUUAUCCUCACUAGAAGCAUUAGAUCUAAGUGGAAACCCUUUUACAUACAUGCCUGAAAGCAUUAGUAAGCUCUUUGAGCUUCAGUACCUUGGUUUAAGAAAUUGCCAGCAGCUAAUAUCAAUACCAGAUCUUCCGCCCCAGCUUACAAAAUUAGAUGCACAUUUUUGCGUUUCGCUGAGAUCAGUAUCACUUCAUUCCAAUGGAGCCGAGGGAAACAUUUUUGAUUUCCAUUUCACUAAUUGUGACAAGUUAACUUCAGUUGCAAGGCACAACAUCAUGGCAUAUGCUCUACGAAAAAUUGAGCUGUACUCCAAAAAACUGCAUUGUCAGGUCUUUCACUCCUCUAAAUUUUUCCCUUUGUUCUUUUCAAUUGACCAUCUCCCUUAUUAAAAUUGCUGCUUUUUCUUAUUUGUGUGCAGAUGCCUUCUGUGUUAGCUGGGGAAUCUAGCUUUUGCAUUCCUGGAAGAAAAAUUCCGAAGUGGAUUUGCCAUCAGAGUGAGGGAUUUUCAACGACAGUUCGACUGCCUUCACAGUGGAGUAAUGGUGAGUUCCUGGGUUUCAUUCUCUGUGCAGUUAUUGCAUUCAAUGACUCCAACAUUGACAACGGUUUCCAAGUGAAAUGUGAAUACCAUUUCAAAGAUGAGCAUGGCAACUGCAGUAAUCUCCAUGGUCAUAUCAGUGGCUGGUAUGGUCGAAGAUAUCUCUGGAAUUACCGCGAAAUCCAAAACGGGGGAGUAUAUCCCAUGUUCUUUGGGUAUGAUCCUUGUGUGGAUGUUAAGAAAAAUGCUCAGUUUCCUAAACACACACAGCUUCUGGUUGAAUUCCAUCCUGAAGAUAUGGAUGGCCAUCCUUUACAUUGUUGCAAGGUUGUCAAUUGCGGGGUACGUAUAUUAUAUGCUGAAGAGGAGAGAUUAUGUCGAUGUUCUUCUCUCCAUCAACAGAUUAAGGAAGCAUUAUCCAAAACAAGGGAUGAAAUUUGCUCCUAUGAAGAUCAAAAUCUAUGGGAGAGCUUUCUGGAACACAAGAAAACCAAAGUUGUUGGGACAAGCUGCAAAAUGUACCAAUGUUUGCUCUGUGAAAGUCACGACUUUGGGUGUUUCGAUGUGGUCGAUGAACAAGAUAUUGAUACUCUUGCAUCUUUAUGAGAAAUUUCAGAUUUAGGCAAUUGUAUGACAUGAAAAAAGAAAAAAUGAGAAUAAGGUGGAGAGAGAGAAAAAAAAAAAGAAGAAUCUAAUACCAGUGGUCAAUUUUAUUUUAAUAUUAUUAAUAUACAUUUCUCCAUCUUCUUCUCUUCCCUUUCCCCCUUUCUCUCUCAGAAAUGACCAGUUUAGAAGCUUCCUUCCUAUCAUCAAUAAGCAAAACCCGUGAACUUUCCAUGCAUUUUCAUAAAUUUGGCUACAACCCUAAGGUGCCUAUAUAUAUAUAAAUCAAUGACCAAGGGUGCAUAUGCUUCUAAGGAAAUUUUAUAAGAGAAAAAAAAUAAGUGUUAAUGAGAUAUAUAGCACAUCUUUAAUAUCUAGUGAUGGGUUGUUUUGGCAAGCGAAACUCUGAAAAUAAACAAAACCCAUAUCAAACACCUGCCAAAGGAACUAAUCCUCCUCGUCAAGCUCAUUAUGGAGGAGCUAGAAAGGCAAAAGUCGCAGCAAACAUAGCCAUGGUGUUGGAGCAGUUACUGCAGGUGUUACUGCUGCAGUCGCUGCAAGUUCAGCCGCUUCUAGUGGUGCUGGUGCUUGUGGUGGAGGUGGUUGCGCCGUUUCAGGCUGUUGAGGAUUGUCUUUGCAACAAUUCAAUUUCUUCUUUAUAUAUUUGUUAAUUACAUAUCAUCUCAUGAGAUUCUAUUAAUUUGUCAUGUUUUUACUUGAAUUUCAGAAAUAAAAAUUAUAGAAGAAAAUAAAAGGAUUGGUUGUAAGAAAUAUAUAUUGUUGUAUAUAUUCUGUGUUUAAUAUAUAUAUUUGAUUAUGGAAUUGUUAUAGUAAUAAUUUUAUUUUUAUUUUUAGCAAUAAAGUUAAUUACAACAAAGAUUUUAUAUUGAUAUAGUAAUAAUUUUAUUUUUAGCCUUAAAGUUAAUUAGUUAUUAUGACUAAAAUAAAAAGUAUUAGGAGACCAAUGAUUAUAUAUAAAGGAUAUCAUAGAAUUUUAAAAAUAAAAAUCUUAACAAAUAAUUGAUUUUUAAAUUGAUCCCUAAUUAUUACUAUUAAUUUAUAAAAAAAUUAGUUUAUAAAUAAUUGUAAUAUUAGUGCAUUAAUUUAAAAAGUAUAGCAACUUAUUUGUAAAUAAGUAUACUGCUUAAGGACCAAUUUAUAAAUUUAUGUGUGCUUAAUCAUAAAUAAUAAUUAUAAUAGGGAUAAAUUAGUAAAAGUUAAUAAGUGAAUUGUAAAAAAAAAUAAAAAUAUAAACUAAAGGACUAAACUGUAACUUUUACUAAACUUAGUUUAUUCUUUUAUAUUAAAAAUAUAAUAAAUGAAAUUUUAGUCAUUUUUAUACAAUUAACCGUAAUUUUAACUGUAAAUCUAAUGAUAAUUUAUAUGUUUAUUUAAAUGUUAAAAUGUCAAUUGGUAGAUUUUAAAAACAUAUAGAUUACAACAAAAUAAUUUAUUAAACUAUAAAGACAACUGAAAUUUAUCUAAUUAAUAAUUAUAAAAUCUAAAAAAAAUUUAAAAAACAUAUAAAAACUACAUUAUAACGUUGACGGUAAUAAUGCAGAUACCAAUAAGACGAAAGAAGCUAGAUAAUAAAUGGAUUGUUUCUUACCAUCCAUAUCUCUUAACAAUAUGCAACUAUCACAUAUAUGUGCUAGCUUAAAGGAAGUUAAAUGUUUGUAUAAGUACAUCUAUAAAGGACAUGAUAAGAUCUCAAUUUGCAUGUCCCAUGAAGAUGAACCAAUGGAUGAAAUACAAUAAUUUCAAGAUACAAGAUGAGUGUCAGCUCAAGAAGCGAUAUGGAAAAUAUUUGAAUUUGGGCUCAAUGAAAUAAACCCUUCAGUUUUAAAUCUACAGUUACACUUGCCAAAUUAGCAAAUGGUAUCAUUUUAGAAAAUCAGAAUCUUAAGCAUGUUAUGCAAUGGGAUCAUAUAUCAAGAACAAUGUUAACAAAGUUCUUAAGAACCACUUGAUGAAGAAGCAAGAGGACUAUUGUAUAGGGAAUUUUCAGAACAGUAUGUAUGGAGUCUAAACAAAAAUCAAGGCAAGUAAUAGGUUGUGUAAAUGCAGUGAAUCCGAUAGAGGGUGAAAGAUACUAUUUGAGAUUGCUUUUAAACUAUAUAAGAGGUCCAAAGUCAUUUGACGAUCUAUUAACAAUAGAAAAUGUCCAAUGCUCGAUUUAAAGAGUCAGCUAUUAGAAGAGGACUACUUGAGUCAGAUAAUAGUGCAUCUGAAUGUAUGAGUGAAGCAGUCACACUCCAGAUGCCAUAAGAAUUGAGGAAAUUAUUUGUAAUUAUAUAUAUUGUAAGCCUGCUGAUGUGAGAGGAUUAUGGGAUAAUUACGGGAUGAUUACUUUGAUGCCAUAUAUGAGAAUUUUAAUAGAAUGUACCAAGGCUCAAUGCAGAAAUAGAUUUCUUUAACAUUGAAAAGUAUAAACUAUCAUUUACAGAGCAUGGAAAAAGAUAUAAAGAAUUAUAAUUUGUCAAAUAUAGAAGAAGAUCAAACACAUCAAUCAAUCAAAAACUCAAGAGAAAUAACAGAUGAGAUGGCUAUAGAAAUACUUGAGGAAGAUAUUAAUGUGGUACAUAAAUUAAAUAUUGAGCAACUCCAUGCAUAUAAAAUCAUAUUGCAAACAGUGGACUUAAACACUAGCGGGGUCUUUUUUGUGGAUGGAUAUGGAGGGACAGAAAAGAUAUUUUUAUAUCGUGCAUUACUCGCAUAUGUAAGAUCUAUAGGAAUGAUAGCACUUGUCAUAGCAACAUCUAGGAUAAUAGCGUUUAUUAUGCUUGGAGGAAGAACUACACACUCACGAUUUAGUAUACCAUUAAGCCCAAUAGAGUCGAACAUGUGUAGUAUAUCUAAGCAAAGCGGACAGACAGAAUUAUUAUGCAUUGCAAAAUUGAUUAUAUGGAAUGAAGCACUGAUGGCAAAAGGACUAGCAAUAGAAAUAGUUGAUAGAAGCUUGAGAGAUAUAAUGGAUAAUUCUCAACCAUUCGGAGAGAAGGUAAUAGUGUUUAGUGGAGAUUUCAGGUAGGUAUUACCGGUGGUACCUAAAGCCUUAAGACAAGAAAAUGUUAGUGUAAGUCUCAUGAAAUCUUAUUUAUGGAGUAAAAUGGAAGUGCUAAAAUUAACAACCAAUAUGAGGGCUAGAACAUAUCAAUAUUUUGGAGAAUUCAUACUCAGAGUUGGUAAUAGAGAAGAGGUAGAAACAAAAGAAUGUAAUAUAAGAAUACCUGAAGAGAUGGUAGUGAAGUAUGAAAAUGAAAAUAACUGUAAAGAAGUAUUAGGUGAUGCAAUAUAUUCAUCAUUGGAGAAAAAUGCUAGAUUGGCAUAGUACAUGACAAAUCGUGUAAUCCUAACAACAAAAAAUGAAUAUGUAGAUAGUUUUAAUGAAAAGAUGAUAAAUAUAUUCUUUAGUAAAAGCGAUACUUAUACCAAUUUUGAUGAAACAAUAGAUAAUACAAAUAACUAUUACCAAGAGGAAUUCUUAAAUAUUUUAUUACCGAAUGGAUUGCCUUCGCACAAGUUAGAAUUAAAAGUGAAUUGUGCAAUGAUACUGUAAAAAAACCUAGAUCCUUCAAAUGGCCUAUAUAAUGGAUCAAGAAUGGUGUAUAAAAAUUUUAGAAAAAAUAUAAUUCAUGCAAAGAUAAUAGUAAGACGUGUUGAUAAGCAAAUUCUAUUACUAUUUUUACCUGCAGAAAAUAAAGAUGUCCUUUUCGUUUUAAAAGAAUACAAUUUCCUAUUUGUCUAUGUUUUGCAACGACGAUAAAUAAAGCUCAGAGAUAAAUAAUAUUAAACUUUGGUAUGUAUUUGAUACAUGAUGUUUUCUCUCCUAAACAAUUAUAUAUCGCACGAUCAAGGGAAGUAUUAAUUUCAAUUAUAAAAAUCAUUAUAAAGUCAGACAAUAAAAAAGAAAAAAGCAAAAAUGUACGAAGAACGUAGCAUAUAAAUAAGUGUUAUUAUCAUAAAAGUGAAAGAAUAUAAAAUAUAUAUUUAAAUAUAAACAAAUAUUUAGUAAUUAUAUUAAAAUAAUAUUAACUAUUAUAAUAAUUUUAAUAAUGGAGUAAACAUAUAUUUAAAAGUCAAUUGCUUGAUUACAAUAAUAACACGAAAGCAAAAAUCAUUAAAUGUGAUGUGAUUUUAUAUUUUAAUAUUAAUAUUAAUAUUUUAUUAUUUUUUAUGAUAAUUCUUCAACAAUUAUAUUAUAAAAAAAUGAAUGUAUUCAAUGAAUAUAAACAACGUGUAAAUCACGUUAAUUAAAACUAAUUAUUACAGAAGUGCUUUAUAAAAGUGGGAACUGAAUUAUUUAUGUUGUUAAACCUAAAUAUGGGCAGGUUAUCGUGGACCAAAUUGAAACAGAAUGGGUUAAAUUUAAAAUAUUGGUGAAUUAAUUUUGGUCAAUUAAUUUUAAUUUAUUUAUUUAUUCAUAUGCCAAUGAUAUAUUCAAUAAAUAUUAUUAUUUAAACUAAUAAGAAAUGUACUAUGUUAGUAUAUUAUUAAUGGUAAAAUAUAAUAUAGUCUCUAUAUUUAGAUAAAUUCUUCACUUUAGUCUUUAAAGUUUAAAAACACACAUAUUUAGUCGUUAACAUUUGAAUUAACCUAUAAUUUAGACUCUGCUAUUAGACUUACGGUUAAAAUGAUGCUAAUUUCAGAAAAAAAUAAGUUAAAUACCCUUUAUUAUAUAUUAUAAAUUAAUUUCUAAAUAUUAUACUUAUUUGUAAAUAUCUAUAUUUCUAUAAAUUAGUUCCUAAAUAUUUCAAUUGUUUAUGACUAAGUCCUUAUAAUUUAAAAAUUGAUUUCUAAAAUAUUUUUAUUGUUUAUAAAUAAUUUUAAAAAUAUUUUUUAAAUUGAUCCCUAAUUAUUACUAUUAAUUUAUAAAAAUAUUAGUUUAUAAAUAAUUGUAAUAUUAGUGCAUUAAUUUAAAAAGUAUAGCAACUUAUUUGUAAAUAAGUAUACUACUUAAGCACCAAUUUAUAAAUUUAUAUGUGCUUACUCAUAAAUAAUCAUUACAAUAGGGAUAAAUUAGUAAAAGUAUUAAAGUGAAUUGUAAAAAAAAUAAAAAUAUAAACUAAAGGACUAAACUGUAACUUUUACUAAACUUAGUUGAUUCUUUUGCAUUAAGAAUAUAAUAAAUGAAAUGUUAGUCGUUUUUAUACAAUUAACCGUAAUUUUAACUGUAAAUCUAAUGGUAAUUUGUAUGUUUAUUUAAAUGUUAAAAACUCAAUUGGUAGAUUUUAAAAACACAGACUACAACAAAAGAAUUCACUAAACUAUAAAAACAUAACUGUAAUUUAUCUUAUUAAUAAUUAUACAAUGUAAAAGUUUUUUAAAAAAUAUAUAAAAAUUAUAUUAUAACAUUGACUGUAAUAAUGCAGAUAUCAAUAAGACGAAAGAAGCUAGAUAAUAAAUGAAUUGUUCCUUACAAUCUAUAUCUCUUGACAAUAUACAACUGUCACAUAAAUGUUGAGAUAUGUGCUAACUUGAAGGGAGUUAAAUGUUUGUAUAAGUACAUCUAUAAAGGACAUGAUAGGAUCUCAGUUUGCAUGUCCCAUGAAGAUGAACCAAUUGAUGAAAUACAAUAAUUUCAAGAUACAAGAUGGGUGUCAGCUCAAAAAGCUAUACGGAGAAUAUUUAAAUUUAAGCUCAAUGAAAUAAACCCUUCAGUUUUAAAUCUACAGAUACACUUGCCAAAUUAGCAAAUGGUAUCAUUUUAGAAAAAUCAGAAUCUUAAGCAUGUUAUGCAAUGGGAUCAUAUAUCAAGAACAAUGUUAACAGAGUUCUUAAGAACAUGCUCACUUAAUGAAGAAGCAAGAGGACUAUUGUAUAGGGAAUUUUCAUAACAGCAUGUAUGGAGUCUAAACAGAAAUCAAGGCAAGUAAUAGGUUGUGUAAAUGCAGCGAAUCCGAUAGAGGGUGAAAGAUACUAUUUGAGAUUGCUUUUAAACUAUAUAAGAGGUCCAAAAUUAUUUGACGAUCUAUUAACAAAAGAAAAUGUUCAAUGCCCGAUUUAAAGAGUCAACUAUCAGAAGAGGACUACUUGAGUAAGAUAAUAGUGCAUCUGAAUGUAUGAGUGAAGCAGUCACAUUCCAGAUGCCAUAAUAAUUGAGGAAAUUAUUUGCAAUUAUAUAUAUUGUGAGCCUGCUGAUGUGAGAGGAUUAUGGGAUAAUUACUUUGAUGCCAUAUAUGAGAAUUUUAAUAGAAUGUACCAAGACUCAAUGCAGAAAUAGAUUUCUUUGACAUUGAAAAGUAUAAACUAUCAUUUAUAGAGCAUGAGGAAAGAUAUAAAUAAUUAUGAUUUGUCAAAUAUAAAAGAAGAUAAAACACAUCAAUCAAUCAAAAACUCAAGAGAAAUAACAAAUGAGAUGGCUAUAGAAAUACUUGAGGAAGAUAUUAAUGCAGUACAAAAAUUAAAUAUUGAGCAACUCCAUGCAUAUAAAAUCAUAUUGUAAAGGGUGGACUUAAACACUAGCAGGGUCUUUUUUGUGGAUGGAUCUGGGAGACAGAAAAGAUAUUUUUAUAUCGUGCAUUACUCGCAUAUGUAAGAUCUAUAGGAAUGAUAACACUUGCCAUAGCAACAUCUGGGAUAGUAGCGUCUAUUAUGCCUGGAGGAAGAAUUGCACACUCACGAUUUAGUAUACCAUUAAGCCCAACAGAGUCGAGCAUGUCUGGUAUAUCUAAGCAAAGUGGAUAGAUAGAAUUAUUAUGCACUACAAAAUUGAUUAUAUGGAAUGAAGCACUGAUGGCAAAAGGACUAGCAAUAGAAAUAGUUGAUAAAAGCUUGAGAGAUAUAAAGGAUAAUUCUCAACCAUUCGGAGAGAAGGUAAUAGUGUUUGGUGGAGAUUUCAAGUAGGUAUUAUCGGUGGUACCUAAAGCCUCGAGACAAGAAAAUGUUAGUGUAAGCCUCAUGAAAUUUUAUUUAUGGAGUAAAAUGGAAGUGCCAAAAUUAACAACCAAUAUGAGGGCUAGAACAGAUCAAUAUUUUGGAGAAUUCAUACUUAGAGUUGGUAAUGGAGAAGAGGUAGAAACAAAAGGAUGCAAUAUAAGAAUACCUGAAGAGAUGGUAGUGAAGUAUGAAAAUGAAAAUAACUGUGAAGAAGUAUUAGGUGAUGCAAUAUAUCUAUCAUUGGAGAAAAAUGCUAGAUUAGCAUAGUACAUGACAAAUCGUGCAAUCCUGACAACAAAAAAUGAAUAUGUAGAUAGUUUUAAUGAAAAGAUGAUAAACAUAUUCCAUAAUAAAAGCAAUACUUAUACCAGUUUUGAUGAAACAAUAGAUAAUACAAAUAACUAUUACUAAGAGGAAUUUUUAAACACUUUAUUACUGAAUGGAUUGUCUUCGCACAAGCUGAAAUUAAAGGUAAAUUGUGCAAUGAUACUGUCAAGAAACCUAGAUCCUUCAAAUGACCUAUAUAAUAGAAAAUGAAAGGUGUAUAAAAGUUUUAGAAAAAAUAUAAUUCAUGCAAAGAUAACAGUAAAAUAACAUAUUGGUAAGCAAAUUCUAUUACUAUUGUUAUCUGCAGAAAAUAAAGGAUGCCCUUUUUAUUUUGAAAGAUGCAAUUUUCUAUUCGUCUAUGCUUUGCAAUGACGUUGAAUAAAGUUCAGAGAUAAAUAAUAUCAAAUUUUGAUGUGUAUUUGAUACAUGAUGUUUUCUUUCAUAAUUAAUUAUAUAUCACACUAGUAAGAGAAGUAUCAAUGUCAACUAUAAAAAUUAUUAUAAAGUCAAAUAAUAAAAGUAAAAAAAAGAAAAAAUAUACGUAAUAUAUAAAUAAGUCUCAUUACCAUAAAAGUUAAAGAAAAUAAAAUAUAUAUUUAAAUAUAAUAAAAUAUUUAGUAAUUAUAUUAAAAUAAUAUUAACUAUUAUAAUAAUUUUAAUAAUGCAGUAAACAUAUAUUCAGAAGUCAAUUGCUCGUUUACAAUAAUAACACGAAAGCAAAAAUCAUUAAAUGUGAUGUGAUUUUAUAUUUUAAUAUUAAUAUUAAUAUUUUAUUAUUUUUUAUGAUAAUUCUUCAACAAUUAUAUUAUAAAAAAAUGAAUGUAUUCAAUAUAAACAACGUGUAAAUCACGUUAGUUAAAACUAAUUAUUUUAUAAUUUAUUUAUUUAAUAAAAUAUAUAUUCAAAAAUAUUUUUUUAAAUGGAUAUUCAAAAAUAUUUAAAACUUAGUAUUAGUUUUUUACAUUUUAUUUAAAUUUUUUACUUUUAUUUUUUUUUUAUAUCGAAAUUAAAUUAACUAUUUAUAACUUAAAUUUAAUUAAAAUUAAAAUUAUAACUGUAAAAAUUAAAAAAACCACUUUAAAACUAAAUGAAAACCAUUAAAAAUCUAAAAUCAUUUAGAACUAUUUUAAAUCCGACUGAUUUUAAUACUAUUCAAAAAAUAAAUAAAACUUUCAUUUUCAAACUGAAACCAGACCAAUAGCGGCCAUGGCCGCGUGUAGUUAAACCUUACCGUACGUUGCCUGAAAGAGCAAUCAACGAAAAUAAUUGUAAGCUGACCGUUUACUCUGUUAAAUAGUGAGGUUAAUCACUAGAGAAGCUAGACCGUGUGGUUACUCAAAUUGGGUUGACGGAUCAUCUAUUUCUCUUUCUUGGUUGCGCCAUUGGUCGAUCGAAGCAAAAAAUUUGUUGCCUUCCUCAUAUUUUCUAUGUAAAUCAAGCUUCUAAUCAUCAAGGUAUUCUCUGGUUUAUGCUUUUUUGAUCCAUAUGCAUAUUGGGUUUUCUCUCAUUCUCAUUUGAUGGCUUCGAUUUGUGAAAUCCUCUUCUAAGCUGAUAUUCAAUGUUAGUUUGAAAAUGAUUCUUUCCUUUAGAAGAGAGGUGAACUUGGGCUCAAUGAUCAAUUGUGUUUCAGCUUAGAAAAUUGUGAACUUAGGCUCAAUCACCUAUGGCAUUUAGAAAAGAAGGUAUAUAAAAACGCAAUUUAGGAAAAAAAAACGAAGUUUCAAAAGGGGUUCGUAAGAUGCAUUUGCUGGUUUGGAAGAGGUAGAUUUUCCUUGCCGUGUAAAUGGGUGAACUCGAGUCUUAUAUAAUUAGGGGUAUUUAAAAAUGACCCAUAAUUUGCUUCAAUUUAUCCGUAGUUAAACUAAAAUUAUACAAGUGUUGAUAGAUUGGGUUGGGUUAUUAUUGUUAUUAUUAUUUUUUCAAAUCAAACUGCAAUUUACAGAUUGAAUUAUAUGUUUCUUAGUUAAAUCAAUAAUUUGACUCAAACCAAUUCUCAUUAUUCUCAAAUAAUGCUCUUACUCCUUUUCUUUUGUUUUAAUUUUAGUUACCCAAUUAAUGCUUCUCCAGUUUUUAAAAAGAAAUAUACAUCUAAUUGCUUUAGUAGCGAUCAUUUUAUUACUAGCUUUGCUUGAUGCAGCCAUUGAAAGCAUAUUACUCACUUGGUAGACUUAAGGUUGAGUUUCCACUCCCUUUAAUACCUUACACAAUCUUUUUUUUUUUUUUUAAAGAAAAAAACACAACGAAUUUAUAUAUAGAAGAUUUACAAUUUAGUCCCUAGAUAUUGUUAUUAUUAACAAGUCAGUCUUUGCAUUUUUUAAAAUUUGUUAAAAUAUUCUUAUCUUUUUUCUCCAUGAACGAAAUAGUAAAUAUAGCAAAAGACCAAAUUAUCCCUCUUCUUCUCCUCCUUCUUCUCCUUCUAGGGACUAUUUUUAUUGAUGGGGAGAAACGAUAAAGACGUUUUAAUAGAUAAAAAAAAAAGAUAAGGAUGUUUUAUUAGAUUUCUGAGAAUGUAGGGACUAACUUGUUAAUAAUGGCAAUACCCAAUGACUAAAUAAGGGAUCUUAUUUGAAGUCAAAAUUGAGUUUUAAAAUUUUUUUCUCUCAUCUUUCAUUUAUUUUUAAUGAAAAAGAGGACGGAAGAACUAUUUUGUUGACGGAGAGAAAAUAUAAGGACGUUUUAAUGAGUUUCUGAAAAUGGAAAAUGCAGAGACUGAUUUGUUAAUAAUGGUAAUACUCAGGGACUAAAUAGUAAAUCUACCUUUAUAUAUGUGUGUGUCUAUAUACACACAUCCCCCUUGUUGAUAGAGUUGGAAGAUACAAAUUCUUUUCAAGCAAUUUAUUUGUCUAUGAAUUUUUUUACAUUUAGAAAAUAAUUGUCAAAGUGCUCUGUCUCCCGUUUGAUUUGCAAACACCAAAUUGCUAUUUUCUCUUUCUAAUUUCCUUUGUUUGUGUGGUUCAUUGGUUAUUACAAUUGACUUCUUCUUUUAGUUUAUCAGGAGACGAGUGAGCCUCUUCAUCACCGAUAUUCUAACUGUCUAUCAUCAUGGCAUCUUCCUCCAUAGCUCGAAAACGGAAGUAUGAUGUGUUUCUUAGCUUUAGAGGAGAGGAUACCCGUGAUAAUUUUACUAGCCAUCUCUAUGAUGCUUUAUCUCGUAAAAAAAUCAAGACCUUCAUAGACAAUGACCUUGAAAGAGGGCAAGAAAUAGCCCCAGUCAUUUUGAGAACAAUUGAAGAAUCAAUGUUUUCUGUAAUCAUUUUCUCCAAAAAUUAUGCAUCUUCUCCAUGGUGCUUGGAUGAAAUGGUGAAAAUACUUGAGUGCAGGGAAGUUCAUGGUCAAGCAGUUUUACCAAUUUUUUAUUAUGUAGAUCCUUCCGAUGUUGAAGGUCAAAGUGGAAGUUUUGGAGAUGCAUUUAUUGAACUUGAGAAGAACUUCAAGGAUAAAAUGGAAAGGAUGCCCAAGUGGAGGGCUGACUUGAUGAAAGUUUCAAGGAUAUCUGGAUGGGAUUCCCGGGUUAUAAGGUAUGUGUCAAUUUCUUUUCAAAUGGCUCCAGAAACAUGUCUUUCUCUUUUAAGAAAGAUGAAAAGGGAAAAAAAAACUUGUUUUGAUAAUUUUUUUUAUAACUAGACAGUAAAACAAAAAACAGAAUAAAUAGCAAAUGGACCCUAAAAUAGCCUUUUUGCUAGAUAAAUCUUGGUCAUAGUUCAUGAAACCCACAUGAGUUGAACUAGCGAACAAGUGUAUUAAAUACUUGCUUGUAUAUGUUGUUAGGUUUACAUAAAUUGGCCUUAUUAUGUUUAUCCCAUCUCAACCAUUAAAUUCAAAUUUAGUGGUUGAGAUUCAUUGUGUAAUAUAUACCCAACCAUUUCCUUCUAUGAACCAAAAAGGUUUUCCUUCACCAAAAUAUCCGUUAGAGCUGUAGCUCUAACAGAGGGAAGGAAGAGAGAAUAGGAAAGAGGGUGGGAGAAGAAUAAGAAGAAGAAGAAGAGAAGAAGAGUGUUUGGAUAACAGAAGAGAAGGGAAUGAGAGAGAAUAAGCUCAGUUUGAAUUAGUAUUUCUGAAUGCCUUUCAUGUGUAUUCCACUGCGAUUAUAUUAGCCCUGUAACUAAUUUGACAGUUGUACUACCUCUAGCUAUUACAAACUUCUAGCUAUAACAACCCAUUCAACUAUAGUACUUUCCCUCCAAAAGUCUUUAUACAUUUUAUUCCCUCUUAUUUCUAUUUUUCUUCCUACAAUACGUGACAAUACUCCCCUGGUGGAGAACUUUCUUGAACCCAAAAAAGGGAGAUACCGGGAAACUGAGCAACAAUGAAUGACUUGUCUUCUCAAAUGGCAUCUUUAGGAGGAAGAUUGUAUGACUUAAUUAAUCCUUGUUUAACAUGUUCUCCUCCUCUGAGAAUAGUUCUAGUCUACAACACCCUCUCUAGAGCCACUAUGAAACUGUCAUCCUGAAUCUGUGGUAGUGUUGUGGAAAUACUAAUAGAGUCCCCAAUCCUUUUUCUUGAGUAAAAGGCACAUGGAAAACAAGAUGAAGUGAAGAUUUAGGUGGUAAUUCCAGCUUAUAAGAUGAAGGGCCAUAAUACUUGGCAGAUAGCUUUAAGGGUCGUUUGAGUGCUAAUAACGUUUGUCUAUAAGGUUGAAGCUUUAAAUAUGCCAAGUCCCCCACAAGAAAUUUCUUUCAGACCUCUUGGUAUCUUCCUGUUGUUUUUGUUACAUUCUGUUUUGAGCAAUUUCUAAAUUUUCUUUCAAGAGUUGCACUAGCCCUUACCUGUCUUGUAGAAAAUUAUCCACAACAUCUACCAUUGUGCCAUCUGUUAAUUCCAUUGAAAAACUCGUAGGAGGAUAUCCAUACAGUCCUUGAAAAGGAGACAUCUUAAGAGCACUGUGAGGAGUGGAAUUAUACCACCACUCAGCCAUAGGAAGCCAUUGAAUCCAAUUAGUGGGUUUCAAGUGAACCAGGCACUUUAAGUAAUUUUCUAAGUAUUGAUUAACCUUUUUAGUUUGCCCAUCAAAUUGAGGAUGAUAGGCUGGACCGAAGACUAGUUUGACUCCCAAGGAGUUAAACAGCUCUUGCCAAAACAAACUGGUAAAGGCCUUAUCCUUGUCAGAUACUAUGAUCUAGGGAAUGGCAUGCAACUUGUAAAUGUGAUCCAUGAAUAGUUUAGCCACUUUAGGAGCAGAGAAGGGACGAUUUAGAGGGAAAAAAUGGGCUAGUUUUGUAAGUAUGCAUAUCACCACUAAAAUAGUGUCCUCUUUUGACUUUGGAAGCCCUUCAAUGAAAUCCAUAGCUAUUUCUUGCCAUGCCUGGGUAGGAAUUGGCAAGGGUUGUAAUAAUCUUGGAUAGGCACAGUGUUCACUCUUGCAUCUUGCACAUACUUCACGGUUCACACUGUUUAACCCAUUCCAUGAGCUUCCUCAAUAUGCCAGGCCAAUAGAAAUGCUUCAUUGCUUCUUGAACUUCAAAUAAGUAGCAAAUAAGUAGCAUGGACCCAAGAAUGCCCUCCCACCGGGGAGUUGUGGUAAGUUUCCAGUAGCUGCUGUAGAAGCUCCAACAUACAUUCUGUUUUUAUAGAACAACACUCCAUUAUUCAGCUGGUAAUUACUGAGAGCUGUAGGGGCACUGGGGCAGUUGAUAAUUGUUGUAUCAAUUUAGUGGCCUUUAAAUCCCCCUCAUAACUGUGCUCCAAGUGUUGCUUCCAAGAUGGAACCACCACUGAUUGCAAGUGAUACAAUUGUUGCUCAAUAGAACUCAUAGACUUCCUAGAAAGUGCAUCUACUACCUUAUUCUCCACUCCCCUUUUAUAAAGAAUUUUAUCGUCAAGACCAAGCAGCUUUAUAAUUACUCUCUGCUGUAGAUUAGUAUGUAGUCUUUGUUCCAUGAGGUAUUUAAUACUUUCAUAGUCUGUUUUGAUAAAAAAAAUUGCAAUUCUUCUAAAUAAUGCCUCAAUUUGUCGACUGUAAAGGUAAUAGCUAGUAACUCCUUGUAAACAGACGAGCCUUGAUUUUUGGAUCCAGGCAUGGCAUUAUUGACACUGCUCUUCAUUUUGAGUCCCUUUAUGGCUACCCUCUACCUCCUCUCUCUUUUCAUCUCAAGAAGAAUGCAAUAUUGACAUUGCUCUUCAGUUUGCACAAAGAGAUAGCAAAUUUCACAACUCAUUAAAGACAACUUGCUUACUGUGCAAAACAAGAUGAAGCAGCAAAUAGAUAAGAAAAGAACAAAGAGGGAAUUCCAAGAAGGAGCUUGGAUGUAUUUGAAGAUCCAACUCUACAGACAAACCUUCCUAGCAGUCAGGAAGCACUUAAAGUUAUCUGCUAGAUACUCUGGCCCUUACCAAGUACUGUAGAAAAUUGGAGCAGUAGCCUAUAAACUCUCACUUCCUCCCAAUGCUCAGCUUCACUCUGUGUUCCAUAUUUCACUAUUCAAGGAAAAAGUGGGAGAGCGAAUACAGAUAAAUCAGAAGCUUCCAUCCUUUUACCAAGAAGAAGCCAUAAUUGCUCCUAAGAAAGUCUUAAAGUUCAGAGUCAUCGUUCGAGAUGGAAAGAGGGUUCCUCAAGGACUCAUUAAAUGGCUGAAUUUGUCAGAUGAGGAGGCAACCUGGGAAGACAAACCCUUUAUUUUGCACUAGUUUCCACAUUCAGCUCUGCUUGGGAACAAGAAGAAUCCCUUGGGGAUAGGGAUGUAAACGGGUAGGGUACCCGCAAAAUUGAGAGUACCUAAACCCGAACCCGAUUAUAUAUACAAUUCCCGAAUCCCGUCCCAAACCUGUUUAAUAUUUUAAUUUUAUUAUCCGAACCCGUCCCAAAUCCGUUUAACAAUACCCGCACAAUACCCGAACCCGAUUUUUUAAAUUCAAUUCAAUGACAAAAACUAGCAAAUAAACUACUUAACAUUUGCACAACCUAGCAAACCCAGCAGUAAAACCCAACAGUAAAAGGAGAAAUGUUCAAUGACAAGAACCAGCAACUCAGCAACCCAGCAAAUAAUGAUUUAUAACCAGAUAAUCAAAUUAAUUGUUCAUAAAUUCUAAAAAUCAACAAUAUUACAUUAAUCAAAUAGCAAAUAAUUAAAGUUUUUAAAAGUAUCUAAAUAAUCAAUUCAAUGACAAAAAUUACCAAAUAAACUACCUAACAGUAGAAUACUGUUAGGAGAAAUGUUCAAUAACAAGAAACAGCAAACCCAGCAAACCCAGCAGUAGAAAGUUCCAGUCAAAAAAUUUGAUUGCAAACCCAGCAAACCCAAACCCAGCAGUAGAAAGUUCCAGUCAAAAAAUUUGAUUGCAAACCUGAAGAAAGUUCCAGUCAAAGGAGAUGUCGCCGACAACGAUUGGGGAGAGGCAAGGGUCCAGCAUGAAGCGUCAAUUGAAAAGAGUAGAUGUCACCGACUGGAAGAGAGGAGAUAUCGCCGAUGCCGACCGGGGAGAGGGAAGAGUUGUCUCCGACUGGGAAGUGAGAGAUGCCGCCGCUGGAGAGAGAGAGAGAAGGAGAUAUCGCUGACUGGGGAGAGAGAAGAUUUAUCGUCGUCGUCGACUGGGGAGAGAAAGGAGACGUCGUCAGUCAGUGAAGUGGGAGAGAGAGGCCUUGACUGGGAAGUGGGAGAUGUCGCCGACUGGAGAGAGAAGGAGAUGUCGCCGACUGGAGAGAGAAGGAGAUAUCGCACUGUGGAGAGAGAAGAUUUAUCGGGGAGAGAAAGGAGACAUCGCCGGUGCCGACUGGGCUGCCGGGCGGCGUCGUCAGUGAAGUGGGGGAGAGGCGUCGACGAAGAGAGGAAAGGGAAGCGAGGGAGAGAGGCGCUGACGGAGAGAAGAAAGAGUAAAAUGAAAAAGGAAAUUAGGGUUAGUUUUGUUAAUAUAUAGGUAAUCGGGUUCGGGUAAUGGGUAUCCGAUCACCUAACCCCGAACCCUACCUGAAUCCGAAAUGGGUAAAAUUUUUCAAAUUCGAAUCUGCCCAAAUCUGUUUUGUAAAAACCCAAAUCCGUUCUAAUAGGGUUUGGGCGGAUCGGGUACCCGUAAAAACCCGCCCGCUUGACAUCCCUACUUGGGGAGAAGAAAAUUCUCUUGGGGAGGGUAUUGUAACGUACAACAGAAGGAAGAAGGGAGAAUAAGCUAUUGUAAUUGUUGUAACUGAAUAAAGGAAUUGGAGGAAAACAAAUAUUAGUUAGAAGGUAGUUAGUCUUGUACGCAUAUAAAAGGAGAGAGCUCUACUCUAUAAAGGCAUUCGAGAAUGAUCAAUAAUAUCUCUUUCUACCUUCUCACCUCUCUCUCUCUCUCUCUCUCUUUCUCACCCCUAUCUCUAGUUCUUUCCUCAUCACCUUUCUAAUUCUUCCCUCAUCUAAGUGUAUUCUCCUUCUAAUCCCCAAUUCUUCUUCUUUUCUCAUCUCUAUUUUCUAUUCCCAGCCAUUGUGCUAACACUGUACUACCCCUAUCUAUAACAAACUUCUAUCUAUAACAACCCCUAUAAAAUCCAUACAGCUAUAGUAUUUUCCCACCCAAAGUCUUUAUGUAUUUUAUUUCCUCUUAUUUAUAUAUUUCUUCUUAUAAUACGUGACAAUAUCUUUUGACCUUUUUUCUUAAUUCAAUAAAAGAUUCAAAUGUUCAACAUUCCAUAAUUUAAAACUAAAAUGUUUGAUUGGGAAGUAUUUAAAAGGGGAUUGUAAGUGUACUUCAGUUUAUUUGGAAUGAAAAC